RNAcentral lists this ribosomal RNA (253 nucleotides) under uncultured bacterium. Its description in RNAcentral is "partial 16S ribosomal RNA". It matches the Rfam family "Bacterial small subunit ribosomal RNA", at positions 524 to 776 of the family's 1533-position model. The record is from RNAcentral.
UACAGAGGUGGCAAGCGUUGUUCGGAAUUACUGGGCGUAAAGGGCGCGUAGGCGGCCUUCUAAGUCAGACGUGAAAUCCCCAGGCUUAACUUGGGAACUGCGUCUGAUACUGGGAGGCUUGAGUGCGGGAGAGGGAUGUGGAAUUCCAGGUGUAGCGGUGAAAUGCGUAGAUAUCAGGAGGAACACCGGUGGCGAAGGCGGGUCUCUGGGCCGAUACUGACGCUGAGGAGCGAAAGCGUGGGGAGCGAACAGG